UACGGAGGGUGCAAGCGUUGUUCGGAAUUACUGGGCGUAAAGCGCACGUAGGCGGAUUCGUAAGUCAGAUGUGAAAUCCCUGGGCUUAACCUGGGAAUUGCAUUUGAAACUGCGAACCUUGAAUGCCUGAGAGGGUGACGGAAUUCCUGGUGUAGAAGUGAAAUUCGUAGAUAUCAGGAGGAACACCGGAGGCGAAGGCGGUUGCCUGGCGGUGCAUUGACGCUGAGGUGCGAAAGCGUGGGGAGCAAACAGG
Molecule: ribosomal RNA, 253 nt
Filed under: uncultured bacterium
Lineage: Bacteria
Description: partial 16S ribosomal RNA
Rfam family: Bacterial small subunit ribosomal RNA
Source: RNAcentral